AGUGAACGCUGGCGGUAGGCCUAACACAUGCAAGUCGAACGGCAGCACAGUAAGAGCUUGCUCUUACGGGUGGCGAGUGGCGGACGGGUGAGGAAUACAUCGGAAUCUACUUUUUCGUGGGGGAUAACGUAGGGAAACUUACGCUAAUACCGCAUACGACCUACGGGUGAAAGCAGGGGAUCUUCGGACCUUGCGCGAUCGAAUGAGCCGAUGUCGGAUUAGCUAGUUGGCGGGGUAACGGCCCACCAAGGCGACGAUCCGUAGCUGGUCUGAGAGGAUGAUCAGCCACACUGGAACUGAGACACGGUCCAGACUCCUACGGGAGGCAGCAGUGGGGAAUAGUGGACAAUGGGCGGAAGCCUGAUCCAGCCAUACCGCGUGGGUGAAGAAGGCCUUCGGGUUGUAAAGCCCUUUUGUUGUGAAAGAAAAGCAGCAGGUUAAUACCCCGCUGUUCUGACGGUACCCAAAGAAUAAGCACCGGCUAACUUCGUG
Molecule: ribosomal RNA, 492 nt
Filed under: uncultured bacterium
Lineage: Bacteria
Description: partial 16S ribosomal RNA
Rfam family: Bacterial small subunit ribosomal RNA
Source: RNAcentral